This 497-nucleotide ribosomal RNA is filed under the name uncultured bacterium. RNAcentral's name for it is "partial 16S ribosomal RNA". It matches the Rfam family "Bacterial small subunit ribosomal RNA", at positions 28 to 507 of the family's 1533-position model. The record is from RNAcentral.
GACGAACGCUGGCGGCGUGCCUAACACAUGCAAGUCGAGCGAACGGACGAGAAGUUUGCUUGUAUGAUGUUAGCGGCGGAGGGGAGAGUAACACGUGGAUAACCUACCUAUAAGACUGGUAUAAUUACGGGAAACCGGCGCUUAUACGGGAUAAUAUUUUGAACCGCAUGGGGCAAAAGUGAAAUUCGGUCUUUCGGUCACGUAUAGCUGGAUCCGCGCUGCAUUAGCUAGUUGGUAAGGUAACGGGUUACCAAGGCGGGGAUGCGUAGCCGACCUGAGAGGGUGAUCGGCCACACGGGAGGUGAGACGCGGUCCAGACUCCUACGGGAGGCAGCAGUAGGGAAUCUUCCGCAAUGGGCGAGAGCCUGACGGAGCGGCACCGCGUGAGUGAUGAAGGUGUUCGGAUCGGAAAACGCUGUUAUUAGGGGAGAACAUAUGUGUAAUGACCUGUGGAGAUAUUGACGGUACCUAGUGAAGAAGCCCCGGCUAACUACGUG